This 66-nucleotide non-coding RNA is filed under the name unclassified sequences. The record is from Rfam.
GACCCAGGUCCGAAUUGUCACCGUAUGGUGUGCGUUCCGCUCAAGCGGAUAGGACCUGGGUUUUUU